RNAcentral lists this ribosomal RNA (500 nucleotides) under Campsicnemus sp. 12 KRG-2014. RNAcentral describes it as "partial 16S ribosomal RNA". The stretch from base 366 to 500 matches the Rfam family "Bacterial large subunit ribosomal RNA", at positions 2473 to 2607 of the family's 2925-position model. Lineage: Eukaryota; Metazoa; Arthropoda; Insecta; Diptera; Dolichopodidae. The record is from RNAcentral.
CUAAUCUGCCCCUGGAUAAUAAUUAAAUGGCCGCAGUAUUUUAACUGUGCAAAGGUAGCAUAAUCAUUAGUUUUUUAAUUGAGAACUUGUAUGAAUGAUUGGACGAGAUAUAAGCUGUCUCAUAAAAAUUUAGUAUAGAAUUUAAUUUUUUAGUAAAAAAGCUAAAAUAAAUUUGAAAGACGAGAAGACCCUAUAAAUCUUUAUAUUAUAAUAUAUUAUUUUUUUUUAGUUUUAUUUUAAUUUAAUAUAUGUUUUAAUAUUUUAUUGGGGUGAUAUUGAAAUUUAAUAAACUUUCAAAUUUUAUAAACAUUAAUUUAUGAAUUUAUGAUCUUUUAUUAUAGAUUAAAAAUUUAAGUUACUUUAGGGAUAACAGCGUAAUUAUUUUGGAGAGUUCAUAUCGAUAAAAUAGAUUGCGACCUCGAUGUUGGAUUAAGAUUAAUUUUAGAUGUAGCAGUUUAAAAUAUUAAGUCUGUUCGACUUUUAAUUUCUUACAUGAUCUG